Molecule: ribosomal RNA, 435 nt
Filed under: uncultured bacterium
Lineage: Bacteria
Description: partial 16S ribosomal RNA
Rfam family: Bacterial small subunit ribosomal RNA
Source: RNAcentral
AGCGAACGCUGGCGGCAGGCUUAACACAUGCAAGUCGAGCGGGCAUCUUCGGAUGUCAGCGGCAGACGGGUGAGUAACACGUGGGAACGUACCCUUCGGUUCGGAACAACUCUGGGAAACUGGAGCUAAUACCGGAUACGCCCUUAUGGGGAAAGGUUUACUGCCGAAGGAUCGGCCCGCGUCUGAUUAGCUAGUUGGUGGGGUAACGGCCUACCAAGGCGACGAUCAGUAGCUGGUCUGAGAGGAAGGUCAGCCACACUGGGACUGAGACACGGCAGGGACUCCUACGGGAGGCAGCAGUGGGGAAUGUUGGACAAUGGGCGCAAGCCUGAUCCAGCCAUGCCGCGUGAGUGAUGAAGGCCGUAGAGUUGUAAAGCUCUUUUGACCGGGACGAUAAUGACGGUACCGGAAGAAUAAGCCCCGGCUAACUUCGUG